GUAGUCAUACGCUCGUCUCAAAGAUUAAGCCAUGCAUGUGUAAGUAUAAAUAAUUUUACUUUGAAACUGCGAAUGGCUCAUUAUAUCAGUUAUAGUUUAUUAGAAAUAUUUUACUACUUGGAUAACCGUAGUAAUUCUAGGGCUAAUACAUGAGUAAAACCUCAACUUCGGAAGAGGUGUGUUUAUUAGUAUGAAAACCAUAUAUCUUCGGAUAUAAUAGUGAGUAAUAAUAACCUUUCAUAUCGUAUGUCGUAAGAUAACGAUAGUUCUUUCAAGUUUCUGCCCUAUCAGCUUUCGAUGGUAGUAUAUGGGACUACCAUGGCAGUAACGGGUAACGAAGAAUUUGGGUUCGAUUUCGGAGAGGGAGCCUGAGAGAUGGCUACCACAUCCAAGGAAGGCAGCAGGCGCGUAAAUUACCCAAUCCUGACAUAGGGAGGUAGUGACAAUAAAUCACAAUGCGGAACUUUUAG
This 470-nucleotide ribosomal RNA is filed under the name Blastocystis sp. RNAcentral's name for it is "SSU rRNA". It matches the Rfam family "Eukaryotic small subunit ribosomal RNA", at positions 20 to 497 of the family's 1831-position model. Lineage: Eukaryota; Bigyra; Opalinata; Blastocystidae. The record is from RNAcentral.